GCACGGGCGGGCUGCCCCGCUGGCCGGGAGAGGGGGCGGGGAGGCGGCGCGGAAAAGUAAAGUGACAGCUGAGUCCCGCUGGCGCGGACGGGUGUGGGCGAGGAGCGUCCGACUGGGAAGGAACUGCAGGGACCCGGAGAGCUGGGGGAAACCGAGGCGGGCCGGGCGGCUUGACGGAAGGGGACACGGGGACCUUGACGGGCACGCGCAUUAAAGAGAAACGCCGGUGGGGGUAGGGACUUGCCCGCAGACCUUUCCCAGGAUGGCGGGGGUGGGCUCGUGCUGCAGUCCUUUGCAGCCCUUGACUCCACUCUCGCCUCAGAGCUUUCCCAAAGUAGCUGUAGGGACUGACGCUGUGGACGCAGGAACCUCAACUCGCGUGCUCGCGGUGCCCACUUGCACCCAAGAAAAUGUCAAAGUUGUUUUUCAGUCCUUGUGCAUUGGCUGCUGGGAGCCAGGAUGCAGCAGUGUCAACGUUUGUCCUGUGGGAAGGAUUGGAAGAGGUUUCACCGCUUGAUUGCUGAAGCUGGCUCCAACAGCAAGUACAUCAUUUGUCUGAAGAUGUUUUAACUGCUAUUUACUACUUACAGUGUUCAAAAAAGGAAUAGUACAAAUCAGAGUUUCACUUUUCAUUUAUUCCAGGAAUAUUUGUUAAGUACUAGGCAUUCAAUAUUAGCUGGGUGUGGUGGCCCAUACCUGUAAUCCCAGCGCUUGCAAGGCUGAGGCCAGCCUGAGCUACAUAGUUCAAGGCCAGCCUAAACUACACAGCGAGACCUUGUCUAAAAGAAAAGAAUAUUGAGUCUUGGUGGUAGGGCUCUAACUUUGAAUAAGUGACAAAAAUUCCUGUCCUCAUAGAGCUCUCUUCCUGACCCUUCCCUGCUUUACAUUCUACAUCCACUUUAUCAGCACAUUCCACUGACUCUGCCCUCAAAAAUAUAUCCUGAAAGUGGCCACUCCUUCCUACCCCUUCCCACUGCUGAUACCCACCAUUAUUUCUCAGUCAUAGUCUCCUACCUGAUCUUUCUCCUUCCCACUGUCCAUCUGCUACUCCCACCCCUACAAGCAGCAGUCUGGGUAGUUUUAUAAAACAUGGGUUAGGUUAGGUCUCUCCUCUUUCCUGAAAGGCCAGUGGCUUUGCAUCCUACAGCAGCAGCCAGUUCUUGAAGUGGCUUCUUGCCCUCAGUGAUCUGCCUGCCCCUCCCAACUAGGACCCCUGUGACCUCAAGUUGUAGUUUCACCUGAUCCUCAUCUCUCUCCAGCCACACUGACCUUGCUGUUGUAAAACACACCAAGCAUUCCUCAGCCUCAAGACUCUUGUACUUUUGUAUUUCCUAUCUCCCAACAUUCUUCUCUUUCUUCACCCCUAGAGCUUCCUGUCUCCCUCCUAGGAUUUAUUUUUCUCAUGACCAUCAUUGGACAUAAUUUGUACUUGUUUGUUUUAAUCUUUCCCUUCUUUCUCCAGCCCCUAUCCCACACCAUCCUAUACACAAAUACAUGUAAGCACUUUAAGAAAAAGGGUACUGUUAGCUGUGGUUCACUGCUAUAGAUAUUCAGUAAAUACUCGUUGGGAGGGAAAUCGACUUCUUUAUAUUGGUAACAUAAUUGACCUUGCUCUAAUUUCUUCAAUAAAGAUAACUAGCAAUUUCUGUGUUUUAAAUUUGUAGUAGGCAAUGUUCUAAGCAUUUUACGUAUACUAGGCCACAACUGUCACAUUUGGUCUCAUUUCAUCAACCUCAUGGAAUAGGUCAGAACCCUGAGGUACAGAGAGUGUUACUUGCCCACGUUUACAGAUCGUGAGUAGCAAAGCUAAGAUUUGAAAUCAGCAGAUUGGUUGUAGAAUCUGUGAGCCUCAGGACAGUUUACCAUGAUUCCAGUGUACAAACAUACACUUUUAUUUGAUUUUUUCCUUUCUGUCCCCUAAGACGCAAAUUUGGUCUAUAAGACAAAUAGCUCACCUUCUUUAUAUUUCCUGCUCUGGCCCAUCAAUCUGUCAUCAUGGGCUCACUCUCUCCUUUCCUACAUUUAUUUCUGGGCUUUAAUAGAAGCUACGUUUUCCCCCUUAGAAUUGGCAAAUGUCAGUGUUUUCUGAAGAGUUCUUAUAACUUUGUUACUACCAACUUCAUGAGAAGGCAGUCACAAUUAGUUUUCCAGCUUGACUGGAUGGGUGAUAGAAAAGAUGUCUCUGAGGGGAACUGGUCUAGGUUUCAGCAGAAAGCAUCAUGCGGUAGAGCCUUGACACUUGUUUAGGCAGCUUCUAUCCUGUUAGGCACUCAGUGACUGGGGCUAUUAAACAUUUGGGUUAUACUCUGCAAGAAACAUCAUAUUAGCUCAGAUUCACCUAAGAGAAUAGAAGCAAAGACAAUGAUUUUUUACUUAAUGCCUGGCUUGAGGGAAGCUAUGGGCACCUUAUGGUACCCAGAAUGCUUUGGAUAGUAAAGCCAAUGCUAAUAAGGGGAAAUUGAAGCUCCAUUAGUGCUGAGACCCUAAUGACCUCAUUACUUAGUACAGCAUUGUCACAAAGGUACACACACAAAGGUGGUACUUAAAAAUGUUGCAUAGAUGAAUCAAUUUCUAACAGGGAAUGGAAGAGUACCAAGGACUAAUUCUCCUGACUUCCCCAUUUGGCCCAGCACUGCCACUUAGGCCACUAUGUAUGAUUAUAUACGUUGCAAAAUAUCAGGGGAUGUCACUCAUAUAAAUUAAGAUGUACACACAGAAGUAUGGCUGCUUCUCUGAGUCCUAGCCCCUGUCCAAAUAUGGUAAUCAGUCUCUGUGACGGUCUCAAUGAUCCCUACCUCUAGACAGUCCUACCCUUAUAGAUUUCCCUACCAUGUAUGUAAAGGUUGGUGUAAUGCUGAAAAGCCAUAGUAUGUUCCUUUGAGAAUUUGCUUAUAAAAGAUACCAGUUACGGGCAUUUGCAGUUCCAGCUACUCAGAAGGUAGAGGUAGGAAAAUCACUUGAAUGCAGGCGUUCUAGGCCAGCCUGGGCAACAUAGCAAGACUAUCACAAAAAAAAGAAAGACAAAAAGAAAAAAGAAAGAAAGGCAAAAAGACAUCCAGGCUUCCACCUUGGUUAUGUACACAUUCUCUCUCAUCACUCAUGAGACAAAAGCUAACUGCCAUGUUGUGAGCAGCUUGUCUCUAGAAUCAGAAGUCUCCUGUUAAUAUCCAUAUUAGCAAGCUUGGAAGCAGAUCUUUGUCUUAGUCAAACCUUCAGCUGGUGAAUCCCUGAUCACCAUGUUGCCUGCAACCUCAUGAGGAAUCUGGAGUCAGGAACACCUGGCUAAGCCACACUUGAACCUUGAGAUAACAAAGGUCUUUCUUCAGCCACUAAGUAUUGAGAAUAAUUUGUCUCUGCUCUCUCUAAUGAUGACAUCUCUCCCUGCCCUGUCCUUUCCUUAUCAAGGAUGCUAUGAAUGUGGUAGCUCAUGUAGGGCCAAGUAGUCCCAUUCACUCCUGAAAUGAGAUAUUACCUCCCAACUUCUCAGAAACACAAACGGGGUAAGGUAUGGGUUAAAGCAUCUCGAGAGAACAUCAGUCAGAAAAAAACUAUUUCAAAGUAAGAGAGGAAAAAUCUGCCCUGAAAAGGACUACCAGAACAGAAAGGAAAAAAUAAUGACACAUAUGAGUCAGUGAUGUGUUAGCUGGUUGUGGAUGAAGUUUUUCUUAUAUUUAUUAUAAUGUGAUUAGUGUGAUGAAUAAAAAACACUUUUGACUUGGGAAGACUGUGGUAAGGAAACAGAGAAAGUGGAAAAGCCUGUGCUGG
Long non-coding RNA from Chinchilla lanigera (long-tailed chinchilla), 3765 nucleotides. Lineage: Eukaryota; Metazoa; Chordata; Mammalia; Rodentia; Chinchillidae. The record is from Ensembl.